AUUGAACGCUGGCGGCAGGCCUAACACAUGCAAGUCGAACGAGUGGCGGACGGGUGAGUAAUGUCUGGGAAACUGCCCGAUGGAGGGGGAUAACUACUGGAAACGGUAGCUAAUACCGCAUACCAUCGGAUGUGCCCAGAUGGGAUUAGCUAGCAGGUGGGGUAACGGCUCACCUAGGCGACGAUCCCGAGCGGGUCUCAGAGGAUGACCAGCCACACGGGAACGGGGAGACGGCCCAGACUCCUACGGGAGGCAGCAGUGGGGAAUAUUGCACAAUGGGCGCAAGCCUGAUGCAGCCAUGCCGGGUGUAUGAAGAAGGCCUUAGGGUUGUAAAGUACUUUCAGCGGGGAGGCGUUACCCGCAGAGGAAGCACCGGCUAACUCCGUGCCAGCAGCCGCGGUAAUAC
RNAcentral lists this ribosomal RNA (406 nucleotides) under uncultured bacterium. Its description in RNAcentral is "partial 16S ribosomal RNA". It matches the Rfam family "Bacterial small subunit ribosomal RNA", at positions 29 to 526 of the family's 1533-position model. The record is from RNAcentral.